Molecule: ribosomal RNA, 426 nt
Filed under: uncultured bacterium
Lineage: Bacteria
Description: bacterial SSU rRNA
Rfam family: Bacterial small subunit ribosomal RNA
Source: RNAcentral
UGGGAACGCGAAGAACCUUACCUACUCUUGACAUCCAGAGAACUUAGCAGAGAUGCUUUGGUGCCUUCGGGAACUCUGAGACAGGUGCUGCAUGGCUGUCGUCAGCUCGUGUUGUGAAAUGUUGGGUUGAGUCCCGCAACGAGCGCAACCCUUAUCCUUUGUUGCCAGCGAUUCGGUCGGGAACUCAAAGGAGACUGCCAGUGAUAAACUGGAGGAAGGUGGGGAUGACGUCAAGUCAUCAUGGCCCUUACGAGUAGGGCUACACACGUGCUACAAUGGCAUAUACAAAGAGAAGCGACCUCGCGAGAGCAAGCGGACCUCAUAAAGUAUGUCGUAGUCCGGAUUGGAGUCUGCAACUCGACUCCAUGAAGUCGGAAUCGCUAGUAAUCGUGGAUCAGAAUGCCACGGUGAAUACGUUCCCGGGUC